RNAcentral lists this ribosomal RNA (255 nucleotides) under uncultured bacterium. Its description in RNAcentral is "partial 16S ribosomal RNA". It matches the Rfam family "Bacterial small subunit ribosomal RNA", at positions 524 to 776 of the family's 1533-position model. The record is from RNAcentral.
UACGUAGGGUGCGAGCGUUAAUCGGAAUUACUGGGCGUAAAGCGUGCGCAGGCGGUUCGUUAUGUCCGAUGUGAAAGCCCCGAGCUCAACUUGGGAAUGGCAUUGGAAACUGGCGGGCUGGAGUGUGGCAGAGGGGGGUGGAAUUCCACGUGUAGCAGUGAAAUGCGUAGAGAUGUGGAGGAACACCGAUGGCGAAGGCAGCCCCCCUGGGCCAACACUGACGCUCAGGCACGAAAGCGUGGGGGAGCAAACAGG